RNAcentral lists this ribosomal RNA (463 nucleotides) under uncultured bacterium. Its description in RNAcentral is "partial 16S ribosomal RNA". It matches the Rfam family "Bacterial small subunit ribosomal RNA", at positions 28 to 507 of the family's 1533-position model. The record is from RNAcentral.
GAUGAACGCUGACAGAAUGCUUAACACAUGCAAGUCGAUGGGGAAGUGGUGCUUGCACCAUGGUAACCAUGGCGGACGGGUGAGUAACGCGUAAGGAACUUGCCUGCGGGACUGGGAUAACAGCAGGAAACUGCUGAUAAUACCGGAUAAGGUCAUUAAGCUGCAUAGCUUAGUGAUGAAAGGAGACGCCUGCGGAGAGCCUUGCGUCCUAUUAGCUAGUUGGAGGGGUAACGGCCCACCAAGGCGAAGAUAGGUAGCCGGCCUGAGAGGGUGGACGGCCACAAGGGGACUGAGAUACGGCCCUUACUCCUACGGGAGGCAGCAGUGGGGAAUAUUGGACAAUGGGGGCAACCCUGAUCCAGCAAUUCUGUGUGCACGAAGACGGUUUUCGGGUUGUAAAGUGCUUUCAGCAGGGAAGAAGGAAGUGACGGUACCUGCAGAAGAAGCGACGGCUAAAUACGUG